Long non-coding RNA from Aethalodelphis obliquidens (Pacific white-sided dolphin), 338 nucleotides. RefSeq lists it as uncharacterized. Lineage: Eukaryota; Metazoa; Chordata; Mammalia; Artiodactyla; Delphinidae. The transcript has 4 exons. The record is from RefSeq and is a predicted model, not a curated record.
UUUUUUUUCUUAGUGAGUCUAGCUAAUGAUUUGGCAUUUUUGUUUAUCUUUUGAAAGAAUGAGCUUUCAGUUUCAUUGAUCUAUUCUAUUGCCUUUUAGGUGUCUGUUUUACUUAUUUCUCUCAGAUUUUUAUUAUUCUUUUUCUUCUACUGAUAUUGGGAUUUGUUUGUUCUUCUUAUCCCUUCAGGUGUAAGAUUACAUUGUUAUUUGAGACUUUUCUUGCUUCUUGAGAUAGGCCUGUAUUGCUAUAAACUUCCUUUUUAGUACCAGCUUUGUUGAAUCCCAUAGAUUUGGGCAUGUCUUAUUUUCAUUUCAUAUUUAGUAUAUUUAAUUUCUCC